This 219-nucleotide long non-coding RNA is filed under the name Elaeis guineensis (African oil palm). RNAcentral describes it as "long non-coding RNA (EGUI_LNC063413)". Lineage: Eukaryota; Viridiplantae; Streptophyta; Magnoliopsida; Arecales; Arecaceae. The record is from RNAcentral.
GCUCUUCCACUGUAGGCAACUCGCUUAAAGUGCCCGAUCUUAUUGCACUUGUAGCACCGAGCCUCUUUCUUACUACUGCUCUUCCAGGACUUUGAUCAUCCCCUUGACUUGCCUCUUUUUUUUCUCUUCUUGAUCUCUUCCCCAAGGCUAUGCCCUCCUGGGGAGCUCCAUCCUUGGUCAUCUUUUCCCACUGUUCAUUGGAGCGCAGUACCGAGACCA